This is an RNA transcript of Dioscorea cayenensis subsp. rotundata (Guinea yam), 1214 nucleotides long. RefSeq lists it as uncharacterized. The record is from RefSeq and is a predicted model, not a curated record. The transcript has 3 exons. Lineage: Eukaryota; Viridiplantae; Streptophyta; Magnoliopsida; Dioscoreales; Dioscoreaceae.
UCCUAGAAAGUAGUUGCUAGCCUUGUUACUUCUCCCUUAUACACCUUAUUGGGGUUCUUCUUAUAAGCUUUCUACACACUUCGAGUUCUCAAUUUAUGACAUCUCUACAAUUAACACUAAGACAUUGAGGUCAGUUUGAGCCUUUAGUCAGAAGGACACUCUAAUGCCUAAGUUAGGCUAGGAUUGAUCUUUUGAAAAAGACAAGGAGGAAGGGAGAAUGUAAAACCCACUCUUUAUUCUUUUCUUUUCUUUUCUUUCUUUCAUAUUCUAAUUCGUUCAAUCACCUUGCACUCUCCAUGCCUUUCACCCAUUCUUGACCUAACCUUGAGUUCCUCAAUAUAGCCAUCCCUACCAUGCUAGAUCUUACACCACUGUUAGUGCCCUUAUCUUCAAAGGGUAGCCAUAGCCUUGCCUCCUUUCUCUUGCUAUACAUCAGCCUUGGUGAUGCUAGUGGAUAUCUAGAACUUGUAGUAAAAGGCUAGUUAUGGAACCAGGCUGUAGAGUGGUGGUGUUGGAGGAUGAGGCUAUGGCGUGUGGAAAGUUUCCGUUGGUAGUAGUGAUUGAAGGAGGCUAGGUGCAAUCUUAUCUUCCAGAAUGAAGCUUUGGACUGUUAUGCUCUAUCCUUAAGCGUAAUCGCCCACGUCAGGAACUGUUUGGAAUCGCGAUGCAGUGCAGUCAGGUGUUUGCUUUCACUUAUCCAAUUACAAUUUUAGUCUUGCCUGUGCUGGUUGCUGCUUCACUCAAGCUGAAUCUGACAUUGAAGCUGAUGCUUUGGUUCUUAGGACUGCUGCAGUGUUCGAUGGACUUACAAAUCCUUUGCAAACAUAUUUUUGUGGCCAGUGAGGAUCUCUUUAUCGCUAUUAAGCGCGGCAACCCGCAGACAUUAUGGAGAUUGGACCCGUUGAUUGCUAAUAUUCUGAACCUCUUGAGUGCGAUGAAUUUUCCUCAACUCCACAUUAUCCCUCGCUCAUGGAUGAGAGCUGCGUUCAGUUUGGCUAAUCUUAAUACUAGCAAACAUGAUAUUACACUGUUUCAUUAGGGAAGAGACCUCCCACGGUAGAUCAUGAAGCACUUCUCUUAGUUUGGGUCCUUUUAUUUGUAUCUUUUCAUUUCUGCUUCCUUUGUUUUUCUGUUUAAGUUUUCUUCUCCUGUUCGCUUGGCUCUUCUGUUGUAGUCUUUCUUUUGAAUAUAUAGCUCUUUGAGCUCUUUUUUCU